GAAGUUGUGGUGUUCAAUUUAUUUAUAGAAUAGUUCUACAUAAAUCAUUGUUGGAUACAUAGCUACUUAAUUACAGCUGUUUUUAGUGUGUAGAUGGAUAGGUAAAGAGAACACUAUGGAUUAAAGAUGGUUUACAAUUGGAGGGACCAUGAGUUAACUUCACACCUUGUUCCUUCGUCACUCUAACAAGGGUUGGACACACCGAGAGACAGAGAGAGAAAUACUAAAGAGAAAUAGCAGUAUCAGCACUUUUUUUCAGGCGAGAAAUACAUUACUGAUGAUGUCAGAGGGCGUCACAAAGUUAUUACUUCAACCGUACAUAGCUUGAUGAAAAUGAAAACACCAAGUAUUCGUCACAGAGAGAUAGAGAGACAUUUCCAUAAACGCUUGACUCAAUUCCUCCAGUCACAGCUCUUCAGUUAAUCCCAGGUGGAGAAAUAGAUGUACAGGGAACAACACUCUUAUACAGUAGUUAUGGCAACGGACAUCUGCUUCAGACAUUAAAAUAUUGCAUUUCAUAGGAAAUAUUUACUGGAAGAAGAGAUCCAGAAGCUAUUGAAAAGUGUUGGUGUGUAUAGUAGUGUAGAAACCUUACUGCAUGGAUAGCAUAAUAUGUAUUGUUUUUUCCCUCCUUUGCACAAUGUAUCUGAUAUCGUUUGUUUCAUCAGGUGGAGAUCCAACUCUGAUCAAUACCAAUAAUUGUAUCCCCAUGGUUGGGUUACCUCAGUGAUGCAUUGCCAGAACUAUGAAAACGUUGUACUUCCUCUAUUAUGUAUUUCUACAACCCGAAAUACAAUGCAUUGUGUAAAUGAAAAACACAACACUGUAAUACAUUUAUCUCCCACCAACAUUUAUCUGAAGUGUGAUUCGUCAUAUUGUUCAUGGGAAAUUGUGAGUCCUGUCACAUCUCUCUUAGUCGGACUGUAACAUCCUCCUCUACCCUCCAGCUACUGCCUCCCCUCUAGAGGUUGGCCCAUCCCUAAUGGGGUGGCACCUAGACUGGCAGAGCAGGUCCCCCAGCAGAUGUACACCUAUCGGGAGUGGCUGGACAGACUGACUGGGGCGGUCUGCUACUCUGCUUUUUUGGAGAAUAAAGCAAUGCUGGAAUCAGUGAGGCUGUGCCAUGGUGUUUGAAUGAGAUGAGAUGCUGUCUGUGUCUGGACAUGUCCUGAUGCUCACAACCUCUCUGACAUGUUUAGUCGGGCUUCAAAGCAGCGAGCACUGUGCCGUGCGUGCUGAGGGCUUUGUAGGGUCUCCUUGAUAGGCUCCUCUGUGGAUGAAAGCCCUGCUGCUGGGCGGGGGGGCGGCUGUUUUGUUUGUUCUGUGACUGGACCGCGUGAACGUUGAGUGAAAUGUGAAGCUUCGCUAAGUUCUCUCUGCCUAUAGAAAUCGAUCAAACGCUCGUCAGCGCGUGUCUGAUCAGUACAAAGGUUAGGACUAGAAAGGACAGUGUGGAUGAGACUGUUUCUGGUCAGAAGACCCAUGUACGUACUAAUAACACACACACAAAUAUAUACACACACACACAAAUAUAUACACACACACACACACACAAAUACACACACACACACACACACACACGAACACACACACACACACACACACACACACACACUGUGAUCUAGAUUCCAGAGAAGUACCAUAUCCCAGGGAAUAUGAACUCACUCACACUAUAUGCCCUGAACUUUAAAACACUAUAUAGCCUUAAACUGUAUAUCAGCCUUUGCCCACAUCCUUUCCCCACAGAACUAACCGGAAUACUAUAGCGAAGAAAAUGCAUGGACGUGUAUGAGAAGGAAGUAAAGUUAGAGUACAUAAAAGAGAGAGUUAGGUUUUGAAAUGUCAUGCAUGCACUGAGGCUAAUGACGUCUGAUCUGAGUCAAAGCCUGCCUCUCUCUCUCUCUCUCUCUCUCUCUCUCUCGCUCUCCCUCCCUCUCCCUCCCUUCUGUUCCUGGCAGCUCUUCUUCUAAUCAGGCCUGUCUGCCUGGUGUCAGUGCAGGUGCCUGCCUCUGAGGAGGACCACCCUCUAUCUCCUCAGCACAGCUGCUAACAGAAACUUAGGAAGUAGCAGGUUAUUUACCGCUAUUUUACUUCCUCCUUAUGGUAAAGAAUUCUGGAACAUUACAGAUGUCUGCCACUCCCUCAAUCCUACACACUUGAACAAAAUGCUCUCAAUUUCAUCAGGUUCUAAUCAUCGACAAACAGUGAGCGUGGUAUGAAAUAUGAACUUUUUUUAUAUGCCUUUGGCUUAAUUGUGGUAUUUUGCAGCAGUACGAAAAUAUAUGCACUCACUACUGUAAGUCACUCUGGUUAAGAGCGCCUGCUAAAUGACAACAACCUGGUGGAGGGUUUUACGGACGGGUAGAGAGAAACCAUAUCUAUCUUGCGUUCGGUUUGUUUACAUCUACAGGCCUCACUAGGAGUGAGAUGAGGAAGUUUAACGAACCUCCCAGUGCUAUGAGCUCAAAGCAGGAAGAAGCUCAGUGCUGCAGGUUGAGAGAAAAGGUCAGACACUCUGUCCUUCCUAGAAUCCCUAGCCAUAUUCUUUCCCAAUACAGUCUACAAUAGCAAGUCUAGUCUACAACAGCAAGAGACUACCCACUGGGCACACACACUGGUUAAAUUAGCAUGUUUCCACGUUGCACCAACUUGGAAUAGACAUUGAAUUGAUGUCUGUGUCAAGUGGGUACAGGCACCAUGACCUGAGGUAAUGAGAGAAACAGUGACUUAGUUCUCAAAACAAACUAGAAUAUUUAGCGAUAGCACCACUCUGCAGGGUGAGGCGGGGGUUAGUUUAGUCCUUGAUCCUGUUGUUACAGACCAUGAAUUGACACAUUAAUCAGAGAUGGUUCUAUUCUUGAAACAGCCAGACGUGUCUCUCGCAGUAGGUAUUGCAUUUAGAAGUAAACUUCAGGGCAGCGCUCAGCGCCAUGCCAACUGUUAAGCAAACCAAUUAAAGGUGAAGACCAUUUAAAUAGAAAUGCUCCGGGUUGUAAUCAUGGUGAAAACAUAAAGGUCCUCUGCAAGCUGACUAAACAGAGAAAGAGGACUGAAUAAUAGAUUGGCGACACAGUAAAACAGGUUUUAAGAUUUUUCACUGCUUCUCUCUUUGCUCAUUGUUCUGUGGUGUACAUCCUCUCUCUGUGGUGUACAUCCUCACUCUGUGGUGUACAUCCUCUCUCUGUGAUCUACAUCCUCUCUCUGUGAUGUACAUCCUCUCUCUGUGGUGUACAUCCUCUCUCUGUGAUGUACAUCCUCUCUCUGUGAUCUACAUCCUCUCUCUGUGAUCUACAUCCUCUCUCUGUGGUGUACAUCCUCACUCUGUGGUGUACAUCCUCUCUCUGUGGUGUACAUCCUCACUCUGUGGUGUACAUCCUCUCUCUGUGAUGUACAUCCUCUCUCUGUGAUCUACAUCCUCUCUCUGUGGUGUACAUCCUCUCUCUCUGGUGUACAUCCUCUCUCUGUGAUGUACAUCCUCUCUCUCUGGUGUACAUCCUCUCUCUGUGAUGUACAUCCUCUCUCUGUGAUCUACAUCCUCUCUCUGUGAUGUACAUCCUCUCUCUGUGAUGUACAUCCUCUCUCUGUGAUCUACAUCCUCUCUCUGUGGUGUACAUCCUCUCUCUGUGGUGUACAUCCUCUCUCUGUGAUGUACAUCCUCUCUCUGUGGUGUACAUCCUCUCUCUGUGAUCUACAUCCUCUCUCUGUGGUGUACAUCCUCUCUCUGUGGUGUACAUCCUCUCUCUGUGAUGUACAUCCUCUCUCUGUGGUGUACAUCCCCUCUCUGUGUUGUACAUCCUCUCUCAGUGGUGUGCAUCCUCUCUCUGUGGUGUACAUCCUCUCUCUGUGGUGUGCAUCCUCUCUCUGUGGUGUACAUCCUCUCUCUGUGGUGUGCAUCCUCUCUCUGUGGUGUACAUCCUCUCUCUGUGAUGUACAUCCUCUCUCUCUGGUGUACAUCCUCUCUCUGUGAUGUACAUCCUCUCUCUGUGAUCUACAUCCUCUCUCUGUGAUGUACAUCCUCUCUCUGUGAUGUACAUCCUCUCUCUGUGAUCUACAUCCUCUCUCUGUGGUGUACAUCCUCUCUCUGUGGUGUACAUCCUCUCUCUGUGAUGUACAUCCUCUCUCUGUGGUGUACAUCCUCUCUCUGUGAUCUACAUCCUCUCUCUGUGAUCUACAUCCUCUCUCUGUGGUGUACAUCCUCUCUCUGUGAUGUACAUCCUCUCUCUGUGGUGUACAUCCCCUCUCUGUGUUGUACAUCCUCUCUCAGUGGUGUGCAUCCUCUCUCUGUGGUGUACAUCCUCUCUCUGUGGUGUGCAUCCUCUCUCUGUGGUGUACAUCCUCUCUCUGUGGUGUGCAUCCUCUCUCUGUGGUGUACAUCCUCUCUCUGUGAUGUACAUCCUCGCUCUGUGAUCUACAUCCUCUCUCUGUGGUGUACAUCCUCUCUCUGUGGUGUACAUCCUCUCUCUGUGAUGUACAUCCUCUCUCUGUGAUGUACAUCCUCUCUCAGUGCUGGAAAAACAGAUAAACUACUGGUCCUGUAAUCAACGGAGAGAGAGAAAUCCCCAAAUAGUCAGGUCCCUAAACACAGCUAUCGGCACUGGCCCUCUGGCCUACCCCUUCCCACUGUAGCAGCCAGCCAGGCAAAGCCAGGGGCAGGGGCAGAGGAGGUAGGUGUUUGUUCAUCGCAUCCGUUCCAGCAUUCCCACAUCCCCUCCCACUCAGUGAGCACAAACAACCCCUCAGAUCUCCUAAAGAGAGGCGCACACACACACACACAGAACACGGGGGAUACGAGGCGAGGAGGUGGGUGUGAGGGUGGGCAGUGCAGUCAGAGCCCUGGAUUGGAGGGCUGGAGAUGCUUUUUGCAUUCCAAUGAGACUCCGAAAACUCAGCACCAAGGUUAAUCUAGAUGUCAAAGUCUGCUGACAGCGCAGGAGAUUGCUCCUGGGUGACAUCCCAUCUGAAGUCUUAACGCUGCAGUCAAUUUCAUCCCUCCCUCCAGGAAAUGGAGUCAGGUUUGCCGUUUUUGUGAGAGUAUGCAAGACUGUACAUGGCAGGAUUUUCUCAUUUUCUCUUCAUUUUACACUCCUCUUUUAUGUUUCUGAGAGGAUAUAUUCUGUUUUCUCAUGUUUUGUCAUGAUAUAAUGCAUGUGGUAUUAGUGCUGUGUCUGCAUGCAUCUGGGACAACAGUCUGAUCAACUGUGGCUCGUUCUUUCAAUCAGUCUAGGCCAACAAAACCAUGCGACACUAAGUCAAGACAAAAAUGUGUGAAACUGCUUUUGAAACAACUGUCAUAGUUAUCUGUCAUAGGAAUAACAUCUGGCGGAAGAUGGCAUCACAAAAUCUACUUUUGACUGUUCUUCAAAACCCCUCUUCUGAACCUGUAUGGUUGUACUCGUCUCCAAGAUAAGAGGGAUAACUGCCGGUUUAUAGUCUCAUAACUAAAGGAGCGUUUCUAAAAUCAGAUAAGGACAUUUUAAUUAAAUGCUUUGAAGGUAGGUCAAAAAUAAUUUAUCAUGCAGGGAAGGAGAGAGGGGAUAACUACCUGUUGUUGCUAGGAUGGCUGUUCUGCAACGCCAGCGCUGAUGCAAACGGACUCCAUCAAGUACAUUAGAUAUUCCUCCUAUCCAUAAUUCAGUAACAUUACCCUCCCAAACAUGACGAAAGUAACACAAAAAUUUGGUAAGCUGGAAACAAAAAAGGAUCUUAGACUAUGUUUUUGGUGUAAACUUGACGUUCCUGCUGUGUGUGUGGGGACAGGCGGAGAUAGCAGAGGAGUGCUGCUGUAGCAGGCUAGCUCCACGGAGCCCUGGGUUAUGAAGUGCUCAAAGAGAGCUCAUUUCAACUGCAAUGUUCCGCUUUCCUGCCUCCCUCCUCACUCCUCCCCAUCAUGAUUAAGGUCUUAAACCCCUCAUCAAUCGUCGGCCUCUUCACUGCAGCAGCCAUAACACGACACCGGCAGCCAGCUCUGUUCUCCUCUCUGGCCAAUAGACAGCGCUAUAUUACUGGGCUGAAACAUGCUAAGCAUACGACCUUCACUGCAUUAUCCCAGCUCUGCUCUGCCUCCUCAACUGACCUCAAGCGAUUACCCCCCAGCCAGGCCAUCGUAUUUAAAGGAUAUCUAAAAGCUGGAGCCAAAACCUCCUUUCAUUGGUAAUUUUCCCCCAUUUCUGCAAGGUCAACUCAUUAGAGUCGCAACCUUAGGCGCUUGUCCACUGUCACCCCUUACCGGUCACAGUUACUUUACUUAGUUACCUCUCUGCUUAGUCAUACGCUGAGGUCAUCUCCGGUAUUCUUAGAAUCAACUAAUUCAUCUAUUUUCUCUCUGAUGGAUAAAUAAGACAUUGACUUCACAUAAAGACAUGUCGCCCUCCACUUCUCUCUCCC
Molecule: long non-coding RNA, 6384 nt
Filed under: Salmo salar (Atlantic salmon)
Lineage: Eukaryota; Metazoa; Chordata; Actinopteri; Salmoniformes; Salmonidae
Description: lncRNA (ENSSSAG00000085202.1)
Rfam family: UnaL2 LINE 3' element (bases 2284-2337)
Source: RNAcentral